GACGAACGCUGGCGGCGUGCCUAAUACAUGCAAGUAGAACGCUGAAGGAGGAGCUUGCUCUUCUGGAUGAGUUGCGAACGGGUGAGUAACGCGUAGGUAACCUGCCUGGUAGCGGGGGAUAACUAUUGGAAACGAUAGCUAAUACCGCAUAACAGUAGAUGUUGCAUGACAUUUGCUUAAAAGGUGCAAUUGCACCACUACCAGAUGGACCUGCGUUGUAUUAGCUAGUUGGUGGGGUAACGGCUCACCAAGGCGAGGAUACAUAGCCGACCUGAGAGGGGGAUCGGCCACACUGGGACUGAGACACGGCCCAGACUCCUACGGGAGGCAGCAGUAGGGAGUCUUCGGCAAUGGACGGAAGUCUGACCGAGCAACGCCGCGUGAGUGAAGAAGGUUUUCGGAUCGUAAAGCUCUGUUGUAAGAGAAGAACGAGUGUGAGAGUGGAAAGUUCACACUGUGACGGUAUCUUACCAGAAAGGGACGGCUAACUACGUG
Molecule: ribosomal RNA, 495 nt
Filed under: uncultured bacterium
Lineage: Bacteria
Description: partial 16S ribosomal RNA
Rfam family: Bacterial small subunit ribosomal RNA
Source: RNAcentral